UAGUUAAUACAGGGGGAUCCUGACUCACUCCAGGUCUGCCGGGCUCGUUCCGGUGCUGCCAGCCAGGAUCCUGCGCAAGAAGCUGCAGCGAGGACCCCCCUGAGAGGUGGGAUGGUGGCCCUCUGAUUCACGUACCACCCACUCACCAAGCACCCCUCUGAGAAGCACUAGCAGCCCCUCCCACAGGGGUUAAGAGCAUGGCCCCUGGAGCCACUGUGUGGUUCUGAAUUCUGGCUUUACUAUCUGCUAGAUGGGAUUACUCAUUUGCAAAAUGAAAGCAAUGGCAGCAUCUACAUCUCAAUAGGGUCUUAUGAGGGUUAAGUGUUGGGCAAACUUCACAUGUAGAACCGUGCCCGGCACGCGGUCAGUCUGAUCAAAGCACUGGCUUUCGUCGUUCUUCCCACAGUAGAUGAAACGGACCUCGUCUUUGCCCUUACAGGAGUGCAGGCUCAUGAAGGAAGGCAGGUAAAAUAAUACAAAUAAAUGUAUCCUGAUAGAUCAUGCUAGGAAGGAAAAGGUAAGAAGAGCAGGAGGAAAUAACAGGAGAGGUGAAAAGUGAGAAAGCACUCACCAUGCAAAAAUGGAGGGAAUGAACAUUCCCAGCAGAGAAAUAGCAUGUGCAAAGGCCCUGAGGUGGGUAGGAAUGGGGUGUAUCACUCAGCAGAGGUCGUUGUGGCUGAAGAAUAGUGAGUAAGGAGAGACAUCCAGGCCAAUUCAGGGACAAGCUGCCCUGAGCCCUCAAGGCACCAUCACAAUCAGCCAGACUGGAACGUUCUAGAACACCCCUCUUAGAGGAGCUUACCUAACAAGGCGCCAGGUCCAUGAUGAAAGGUGCUGCUGACCUCAGAGCUGACCCCCUCCGUGGGAAGGGGAGGCCAAGAUACUGACAGACGGCGACCAAGUGUCUGGCCCUGGGACUGGCCUGGGCAACAGUACUACCAAUGGACAGAGCAGUCCUGCCCUCACGGAGCGGCCUGGUUCCUGGGCCGUACAGAUACCCCAUGACUUGAUCAACCAAUCCCGAACUGAGGAGCUUCUAAAGAUUGUGCCUCACAAAGACACAAGAACAGAUGGAGCAGUGAAACUUGCACACAAUAGUACAACGGUGGGUAUAUGUCACACAUUUGUCAUGGAACCUAUAAGACCAGGAGUGAAUCCUAAUGUGAACUAUGGAGUCUGGGUGAUAAUGACGUGUCGGUGUAGAUUUGACAAUUGUAACAAGUGUCCCACUCUGGUGUGGGAGAUGCUGAGAGUGCGUACGUGGGGACAGGGGUAUGUGAGGGCUCUCUGUGUGUUCUACUCAAUUUUUCUGAGACCCUAAAACUGCUCCAAAAAAUAGUCUAUUUAAUGGUAAUAAAAAACCAAUCGAUCACA
This 1374-nucleotide long non-coding RNA is filed under the name Vulpes vulpes (red fox). Its description in RNAcentral is "lncRNA (ENSVVUG00000016941.1)". Lineage: Eukaryota; Metazoa; Chordata; Mammalia; Carnivora; Canidae. The record is from RNAcentral.